RNAcentral lists this ribosomal RNA (497 nucleotides) under uncultured bacterium. Its description in RNAcentral is "partial 16S ribosomal RNA". It matches the Rfam family "Bacterial small subunit ribosomal RNA", at positions 28 to 507 of the family's 1533-position model. The record is from RNAcentral.
GAUGAACGCUGGCGGCGUGCCUAAUACAUGCAAGUCGAGCGAACGGACGAGAAGCUUGCUUCUCUGAUGUUAGCGGCGGACGGGUGAGUAACACGUGGAUAACCUACCUAUAAGACUGGGAUAACUUCGGGAAACCGUAGCUAGUACCGGAUAAUAUUUUGAACCGCAUGGUUCAAAAGUGAAAGACGGUCUUGCUGUCACUUAUAGGUGGAUCCGCGCUGCAUUAGCUAGUUGGUAAGGUAACGGCUUACCAAGGCAACGAUGCAUAGCCGACCUGAGAGGGUGAUCGGCCACACUGGAACUGAGACACGGUCCAGACUCCUACGGGAGGCAGCAGUAGGGAAUCUUCCGCAAUGGGCGAAAGCCUGACGGAGCAACGCCGCGUGAGUGAUGAAGGUCUUCGGAUCGUAAAACUCUGUUAUUAGGGAAGAACAUAUGUGUAAGUAACUGUGCACAUCUUGACGGUACCUAAUCAGAAAGCCACGGCUAACUACGUG